Molecule: long non-coding RNA, 326 nt
Organism: Spea bombifrons (plains spadefoot toad)
Lineage: Eukaryota; Metazoa; Chordata; Amphibia; Anura; Pelobatidae
Exons: 3
Source: RefSeq, a predicted model, not a curated record
CCUCUGCGAGCCCUCUAGCUCGGUCUCGGUGCCGGCUUGUAAUGCUGAGCGCCGGAAGUGACGUCAAUUUCCGGCGCUCAGCAUUACAAGCCGGCACCGUGGCAGAGCAGGGAGACUCGCCGCACGACUGUUUAAAGGCUAUUGGGAAGGCUGACAAUUGGGCAGUAAAAUAUUAAAAAGACAGGCAGAGAGACAUCGUGUACACUCUGGCAUUCCACAGGCAAAUGUACAUUUCUUCUUUACUAUCUUGCCGUGGAACAGAGAGAAUCAUCGGCUUCCUAAGAACUUCCCACAGAAGAAGCUGUCGAACAGAUUUGUCUUAUGUC